This is a long non-coding RNA of Salvia miltiorrhiza (redroot sage), 786 nucleotides long. RefSeq lists it as uncharacterized. The record is from RefSeq and is a predicted model, not a curated record. Lineage: Eukaryota; Viridiplantae; Streptophyta; Magnoliopsida; Lamiales; Lamiaceae. The transcript has 3 exons.
UUAUAUUAAGUUUAGAAUUUAAUUUAAACUUAGAUUUAAGAUGAUUCACGCCGGAUAAAAGAAAAUGAAUUUAUUUUAAUUCCAACAAAAAUGAUUUACAAAAACAUUUGUAAAUUUAAUUAUUGAAUUUAUAUGCAUUGUAUAUUUAUUUAAUUUAGCAUUCAAGUAUUUUUUUUACGAGAUAUUUAUUUAGCAAACCCUGAAAUAUUUAUUACAGUCCCGAUAUUUUAUCUAUGUUACUAAUAACCACCCAAUAUCAUGAUAUAUUUUUUUUUACAUACAUGUGCAGACAAUCAAUUAUAUCUGCACAAUAAAAUCAUAUCUUUGAUAUCUUAUCAAAUAUUUGUCCACUUUCAUUUGCUUCCACUUUCUUUUAUUUUAUUUGUCCACUUUCUUUUGUUUCCAUUUAUUUUUGUUUUUAUGCAGUCAAAUUCCACUACACCAGAUCAGCCAAGUUUUCCACUACACCUAACAAAUCAGUCAAAUUUUCCUUCACUCACUACUCCACCAAAUUUCUUUCAUCGGCUCUCCAAAAUCAUUUCACCAGAAAUCUCCCCAAACUCAUUUCACCAGAAAUCUCCCCAAACCAAAGCAAACAUCCAUCUGUGUAUCAACAACAAAUCAGUGAAAGGUUUUGUAGACCGUGAGGACUAGCGCUGCUAUAUCAAUUCAGAGUUAAGAAUAAACGACAGGCAUUGCCUAAUCAGGUUGAUUGGUCGGUGCUGACGGGGCAGAGCUGAGGCUAGGGUUCAACUCCGUAUUUUGUCUUCCGCUGUUGCACUAGCU